Molecule: ribosomal RNA, 406 nt
Filed under: uncultured bacterium
Lineage: Bacteria
Description: partial 16S ribosomal RNA
Rfam family: Bacterial small subunit ribosomal RNA
Source: RNAcentral
AAUGAACGCUGGGGGCAGGCCUAACACAUGAAAGUCGAACGAGUGGCGGACUGGUGAGUAAUGUCUGGGAAACUGCCUGAUGGAGGGGGAUAACUAUUGGAAACGGUAGCAAAUACGGCAUAACAUCGGAUGUGCCCAGAUGGGAUGAGCUAGUAGGUGGCGUAAUGGCUCACCUAGGCGCCGAUCCCUAGCUGGUCUGAGAGAAUGACCUGCCACACGGGAACUGAGACACGGUCCAGACUCCUACGGGAGGCAGCAGUGGAGAAUAUGGUGCAAUGGACGCGAGCCUGAUGAAGCCAUGCCGCGUGUAUGAAGAAGGCCAUCGGGGUGUAAGGUACUUGCAGCGGUGAGGCGUUACCAGCAGAAGAAGCACCGGCGAACUCCGUGCCGGCAGCCGCGGUAAUAC